Molecule: ribosomal RNA, 457 nt
Filed under: uncultured bacterium
Lineage: Bacteria
Description: partial 16S ribosomal RNA
Rfam family: Bacterial small subunit ribosomal RNA
Source: RNAcentral
AACGAACGCUGGCGGCAGGCCUAACACAUGCAAGUCGAACGCCGUAGCAAUACGGAGUGGCAGACGGGUGAGUAACGCGUGGGAACAUGCCCUUCGGUUCGGAAUAACUCAGGGAAACUUGAGCUAAUACCGGAUACGUCCAAGGCUUGCCUUGGAGAAAGAUUUAUCGCCGGAGGAUUGGCCCGCGUCUGAUUAGCUAGUUGGUGGGGUAAUGGCUCACCAAGGCGACGAUCAGUAGCUGGUCUGAGAGGAUGAUCAGCCACAUUGGGACUGAGACACGGCCCAAACUCCUACGGGAGGCAGCAGUGGGGAAUAUUGGACAAUGGGCGCAAGCCUGAUCCAGCCAUGCCGCGUGAGUGAUGAAGGCCCUAGGGUUGUAAAGCUCUUUUGCCCGGGAAGAUAAUGACGGUACCGGGAGAAUAAGCCCCGGCUAACUUCGUGCCAGCCGCCGCCGUAA